RNAcentral lists this ribosomal RNA (442 nucleotides) under uncultured bacterium. Its description in RNAcentral is "partial 16S ribosomal RNA". It matches the Rfam family "Bacterial small subunit ribosomal RNA", at positions 338 to 795 of the family's 1533-position model. The record is from RNAcentral.
CCUACGGGGGGCUGCAGUGGGGAAUAUUGGGCAAUGGGCGAAAGCCUGACCCAGCAACGCCGCGUGAAGGAAGAAGGCUUUCGGGUUGUAAACCUCUUUUGACAGGGAAGAGCAGAAGACGGUACCUGUCGAAUAAGCCACGGCGAACUACGUGCCAGCAGCCGCGGUAAUACGUAGGUGGCAAGCGAUGUCCGGAUUGACUGGGUGUAAAGGGCGGGUAGCGGGGCUGACAAGUCAGAUGUGAAAUCCGGGGGCUCAACCCCCGAACUGCAUGUGAAACUGUUGGUCUUGAGUAUCGGAGAGGCAUGCGGAAUUCCUGGUGUAGCGGUGAAAUGCGUAGAUAUUAGGAGGAACCCCAGUGGCGAAGGCGGCCUGCUGGACGGCAACUGACGGUGAGGCGCGAAAGCGUGGGGAGCAAACAGGAUUAGAUACCCGGGUAGUC